This 76-nucleotide transfer RNA is filed under the name Candidatus Scalindua sp. RNAcentral describes it as "tRNA-Phe". It matches the Rfam family "tRNA". Rfam says of the family: Transfer RNA (tRNA) molecules are approximately 80 nucleotides in length. Their secondary structure includes four short double-helical elements and three loops (D, anti-codon, and T loops). The record is from RNAcentral. RNAcentral also lists the same sequence under 1 other name. Lineage: Bacteria; Pseudomonadati; Planctomycetota; Candidatus Brocadiia; Candidatus Brocadiales; Candidatus Scalinduaceae.
GGGCAGGUAGCUCAGUUGGUAGAGCACGGGACUGAAAAUCCCGGUGUGGUCGGUUCGAUUCCGACCCUGCCCACCA